UGAAUUUCUGUUUGUAAGAGUCGAAGCUUUACAGCUAAGAUUUCUUCGAACAUCUGUUUGCAAGCAUACGUUCGGCCUUCACUGGUUGGCUAUGUAAGCAAGCGCUUUACCUUGAGAAAAUUAGAGUGUUCCAGGCAGGCUUCAGCCGGAAUACAUUAGCAUGGAAUAAUGGAAUAGGACUGGGGACUAUUUAUUGGUUUGAGGCUCCAGUAAUGAUUAAUAGGAACAGUCGGGGGCAUUGGUACUUAACAGUCAGAGGUGAAAUUCUUGGAUUUGUUAAAGACUAACUAAUGCGAAAGCAUUUGCCAAGCAUGUUUUCAUUAAUCAAGAACGAAAGUUAGGGGAUCAAAGACGAUUAGAUACCGUCCUAGUCUUAACUGUAAAACGAUUCCAUCUUAGAAUUGGGUGAAUAUUUGAUGAUUCAUCCAGCGCUAUAAGAGAAAUACAAAGUCUUUGGGUUCUUGGUGGAG
This 470-nucleotide ribosomal RNA is filed under the name uncultured eukaryote. Its description in RNAcentral is "SSU rRNA". It matches the Rfam family "Eukaryotic small subunit ribosomal RNA", at positions 635 to 1123 of the family's 1831-position model. The record is from RNAcentral.